GGCCGGAUAGCCAAGUGGUAAGGCAGGGGACUGCAAAUCCCCGAUCGCGGGUUCGAUUCCCGCUCCGGCCU
This 71-nucleotide transfer RNA is filed under the name Euzebyales bacterium. RNAcentral's name for it is "tRNA-Cys". It matches the Rfam family "tRNA". Rfam says of the family: Transfer RNA (tRNA) molecules are approximately 80 nucleotides in length. Their secondary structure includes four short double-helical elements and three loops (D, anti-codon, and T loops). The record is from RNAcentral. Lineage: Bacteria; Bacillati; Actinomycetota; Nitriliruptoria; Euzebyales. RNAcentral also lists the same sequence under 2 other names.